CCUGAACGCUGGCGGCGUGGCUAAGACAUGCAAGUCGUACGGGCGUAGCAAUACGUCAGUGGCGAACGGGUGAGUAAUGUAUCGCUAACGUGCCCCCGAGUCAGGGAUAGCUGCCCGAAAGGGCAGGUAAUACCUGAUGAGACCACGACCGGGCAUCCGGUUGUGCUACAAAGCAGCAAUGCGCUCGAGGGAGCGGGCGAUAUCGUAUCAGCUAGNGGUGAGGUAACGGCUCACCAAGGCGACGACGCGUAGCCGGACUGAGAGGUUGGCCGGCCACAUUGGGACUGAGACACGGCCCAGACUCCUACGGGAGGCAGCAGUGGGGAAUA
Molecule: ribosomal RNA, 329 nt
Filed under: uncultured bacterium
Lineage: Bacteria
Description: bacterial SSU rRNA
Rfam family: Bacterial small subunit ribosomal RNA
Source: RNAcentral